UUUUACAGUAAAAAAUUAGAGAAAAAAAAUUCUUCCCAAAGAGAGAAAGAGAAGGAAGAAGAUGGAUCUCCUUUCUUGUGCGCAGCCUUGAAGAAGAAGGGAUUUUUUUUAAUUUUUUUUUUUAUUUUUUUUAAGAUAAAAAUUAGAUUAAAUUUAAUUUUUAAUAUAAAAAUUUAAAAAAAAUAUCAAAAAAAAAUUUGGUUGGGCGUUUGGGACUUCCUAGAGUUCUA
RNAcentral lists this long non-coding RNA (230 nucleotides) under Elaeis guineensis (African oil palm). Its description in RNAcentral is "long non-coding RNA (EGUI_LNC065120)". Lineage: Eukaryota; Viridiplantae; Streptophyta; Magnoliopsida; Arecales; Arecaceae. The record is from RNAcentral.